UACGAAUGGGGCAAGCGUUGUUCGGAAUCACUGGGCUUAAAGCGUGCGUAGGCGGAUUUGCAAGUCAGAAGUGAAAGCCCAGGGCUCAACCCUGGAACUGCUUUUGAAACUGCAAAUCUAGAAUCCGGGAGGGGUCAGGAGAAUUCCCAGUGUAGAGGUGAAAUUCGCAGAUAUUGGGAGGAAUACCAGUGGCGUAGGCGCCUGACUGGACCGGAAUUGACGCUGAGGUACGAAAGCGUGGGGAGCAAACAGG
RNAcentral lists this unclassified non-coding RNA (253 nucleotides) under uncultured Alphaproteobacteria bacterium. RNAcentral's name for it is "contains 16S-23S intergenic spacer region". It matches the Rfam family "Bacterial small subunit ribosomal RNA", at positions 524 to 776 of the family's 1533-position model. Lineage: Bacteria; Pseudomonadati; Pseudomonadota; Alphaproteobacteria. The record is from RNAcentral.